Long non-coding RNA from Boleophthalmus pectinirostris (great blue-spotted mudskipper), 777 nucleotides. RefSeq lists it as uncharacterized. NCBI's taxonomy places the organism in Eukaryota, Metazoa, Chordata, Actinopteri, Gobiiformes, Gobiidae. The record is from RefSeq and is a predicted model, not a curated record. The transcript has 3 exons.
UUCUUUUAGCAGACAAAACAUCUUAUGUGAAGAUUUCCUCGUCUGCUUCUCUACAGCCAAUCAAGUAAUCCAAAGUAUUCAGAUUACGUUACUCACUUUAAGUAAUUUAAUGGAUUACUUUACAGAUUACAUUUUGGGGUAUGUAAUCUGUAAUCUGUAGGGGAAUACAUUUUAAAAGUAACCUUCCCAACACUGGCCAUGGAGCUGUAGAUCUGUGCGGGGACACGCGAGAGAAUCAGAAAAAAAAGUUUUAUUGCUAGUGUUAGUGAACAGAAUUCAUAAAGUAGGAAUUUUAGCGAGAUGGUACACUGAAAAAACGGUCCGAGAGGGGUUGCUCAAAUUGCAAAAACAAAUUUGACAACAAUAACAUCACUUUUUUACAUUUCUCUGUCCAGCAUGUUUAAAUCUUACAAACAUCGCUUGAUUGUGGCCGAUGUGAGACCUGCAUGUUUUAAUCAGGUUGAGGAAACAUGACUUUAUUAUAAUUUCUGGUGAGGCUCCUCCCUCUGGAAUUCUCCUCCCCAAAACCUUUGGAGGGAAAAUUCAAAUGUAACAGGACACAGGACAGUUAGAUGAGCAGAGGACACACAGUGUGGAGCAGGAGGAUUAUGAGAACUGAUCUGGAGAGUCGUCUACAAAGAGUGACGUCCAGAGCUCUGCUGUAGCUAUGGGGAAGUUCAUGAAUGUUAUAGUUGAUGUUUCAGAAAAAAGGAAGAUGUUUGAGAACCAACAAAACACAGACCACAGAUGAACAAAGUGAUGUGGCAUUAGGAGGAC